This 2512-nucleotide ribosomal RNA is filed under the name Ambystoma mexicanum (axolotl). RNAcentral's name for it is "eukaryotic LSU rRNA". It matches the Rfam family "Eukaryotic large subunit ribosomal RNA", at positions 407 to 3401 of the family's 3401-position model. Lineage: Eukaryota; Metazoa; Chordata; Amphibia; Caudata; Ambystomatidae. The record is from RNAcentral.
AUUGAGAGGUAAACGGGUGGGGUCCGUGCAGUCCGCCCGGAGGAUUCAACACGGCAGGGCAGGUCGGUCGCCUCGGAACGGUGGAUGCCCUCGCGGGACUGCGGGCCGGACAAACCCGGCCCCAGCAGGGUGCAUUUCCUCUGUGGCGGUGCACCGCAAAUGGCUGGGAAGGCCCCAGGGGGCAGGUGGCUCUUUGCUCCAGCAGAGAGUGUUACAGCCCCUGACCAGCAGUUUCGCUGUGUCCGCGGGCCGAAGGAGAUUGACCGCCGCCGCGCACCUUCUCCGCAACCGUCCUGGCCCUGUUGGGGGUCAACGGGCGGCGACACUAGACAGGGAUCCCGAUACAACUGUGGUGGACUGCCCUCAGUGUGCCCCGACCACGCCAGGUGCUGGUGGGGAGGCCCACAAAGGGCGCCAGGGUCUGCGGUGAUGUCGGUUAACCACUCGACCCGUCUUGAAACACGGACGAAAGGAGUAUUAACACGUGCGCGAGUCGGAGGGCCGAAUGAAACCCUGUGGUGUAAAGAAGGUGAGGGGGAGCAUGCCGAUUGCAAUGGGAUCCUGUUGGUGUAGGAGCACCACCAACCCAUCUCGGCCGCUCUGUCAGGGAGAUGGAGCAUGAGCGUGUGUGAUAGGACCCGAAAGAUGGUGAACUAGGCCUGGUGGAGGUCCGUAGUAGUCCUGAUGUGUAAAUCGGUCGUCCGACCUGGGCAUAGGGGCGAAAGAAUAAUCAAACCAUCUAGUAGCUGGUUCCCUCUGGAGUUUCCCCCUCAGGAUAGAUGGCGCACGGAAACCACAGUUUUAUCUAGUAAAGCGAAUGAUUCGAAGUCUUGCGGCCAAAAUGAUCUCAACCUAUUCUCAAACUUUAAAUGGGUAAGAAGCCUGGCUCUCUGGCGUGGAGCCGGGCAUUGAAUGCAAGUGCCCAGUGGGCAACUUUUGUUAAGCAGAACUGGCGCUGCAGGAAGAACCGAAUGCCGGGUUAAGGUGCCCGCCGACACUCAUCAACCCCCAGAAAAGGUGUUGGCGUUGAAAUAGACACCAGGACGCUGGACCUGGAAGUCGGAAUCCACCAAGGAGCCCCGAGGAGAGUAUUCUUUUCUUUGUGAAGGCCAGGGCACCCUGGAAUGGGUUCGCCCUGAGAGAAGGGCCCGAGCCUUGGAAAGCGUUGCAGAUCCGGCGGCGUGCGGAACUCUCGCUAGUCCAUGAAAAUCCAGGGGAGAUGGUGUAAAUCUCGUCCCGGGCCGUACCAAUAUCCGCAGCAGGUCUCCACGGUGAACAGGCUCUGGCAUGUUGGAACAAUGUAGGUAAGGGAAGUCGGCAAGUCAGAUCCGUAACUUCGGGAUAAGGAUUGGCUCUGAGGGUUGGGUCGGUCGGGCUGGGGCACUAAGCAGGGCUGGGCGUGCGCCGCUGCUGGACAAGGUGUCUCCCCCCCCUACCCCCAGGGGCGGCGCUGACUCUGGAUGCAAGCCGGGCCCUGGCUGGGGAUCGCCUCAGCCUCAGUGGUCGCCUCUCUCCAUUCCCCUCCUGGGUUCGGAGCAGACGUUCUGCCUAGGCCGGCACCUAGCAGCUGACUUAGAACUGGUACAGACCAGGGGAAUCCGACUGUUUAAUUAAAACAAAGCAUCGCGAAGGCCUGCAGUGGGUGCUGAAUCAAUGUGAUUUCUGCCCAGUGCUCUGAAUGUCAAAGUGAAGAAAUUCAACGAAGCGCAGGUAAACAGCGGGAGUAACUAGGACUCUCUUAAGGUAGCCAAAUGCCUCAUCAUCUAAUUAGUGACACGCAUGAAUGUUUGAACGAGGUUCCCACUGUCCCUACCUACUAUCUAGAAAAACCACAGCUAUGGGAACAGGCUUGGCAGAAUCUACGGGGAAAGAAUACCUUGUUAAUCUUGCCUCUAGCCUGGCAGGUGUCCUAAGGCGAGCUCAGGGAAGACAGAAAAGCCUGCUUGAUCUUGAUUUUUCAGUAUGAAUACAGACCGUAAAAGCAGGGCUUCACGAUCCAUCUGACUUUUUGGGUUUCAAGCAGGAGGUGUCAGAAAAGUUACCAUAGGAAUAACUGGCUUGUGUCGGCCAAGCGUUCAUAGCGACGUCGCUUUUUGAUCCUUCGAUGCCGGCUCUUCCUAUCAUUGUGAAGCAGAAUUCAUAAAGCGUUGAAUUGGUCACCACUAAUCGGGAACGUGAGGUGGUUUUAGACCGUUGUGAGACAGGUUAGUUUUACCCUACUGAUCAUGUGUUGUUGCAAUAGUAAUCCUGCUCACUAGAAGAGGAACCGCAGGUUCAGACAUUUGGUGUAUGUGCUUGGCUGAAGAGCCAAUGGGGCGAAGCUACCAUCUGUGGGAUUAUGACUGAACGCCUCCAAGUCAGAAUCCCCCUAAACCGUAACAAUACUGCAGCACUGUCGAACCUCGGUUGGCCUAGGAUAGCCGGCCUCUGGGCCGGUGCGUGGAGCCGCUCGCCUCGGGACUCGAGUGUCGACAGAAGGGGGCCACCUCUCUCACCCGCGAGUGCACCGCAU